Molecule: long non-coding RNA, 339 nt
Organism: Helianthus annuus (common sunflower)
Lineage: Eukaryota; Viridiplantae; Streptophyta; Magnoliopsida; Asterales; Asteraceae
Exons: 3
Source: RefSeq, a predicted model, not a curated record
GAGCAAAAAAGGGCUCCUUCAAGCUAACCCUAAAUCACUCAAAAUCAGCCAAUUUCAAGCAAGAAAUCAAGAGCAAAUCAAAAAUCAAGCUGAAAUUAGUGAUCACCAAGCCUAGGGGAUCCCAAGGCGACUCGAGCGAGAAGGUAGGUAAUAAAGCCGGGAGCGACACGCGGCAUAAAGAGAAGAUCUAAGGUUACCUAGCAGUACCGGAUGAUGACUGAGCCCGACGAAGAACCGAACACCCGAGAUCAAAGCUUCCGCGAAUAGUUUUCGUCGUCACGUUUAAACGGCGAAUUAAAUUACAAAAUAUUGAAAUGUUUUAUUUAGUAAAUUGUUUUA